UACGUAGGGUGCGAGCGUUAAUCGGAAUUACUGGGCGUAAAGCGUGCGCAGGCGGUGAGCUGUGUCCGAUGUGAAAGCCCCGGGCUUAACCUGGGAAUGGCAUUGGAAACUGGCUCGCUGGAGUGUGGCAGAGGGGGGUGGAAUUCCGCGUGUAGCAGUGAAAUGCGUAGAUAUCGGGAGGAACACCAGUGGCGAAGGCGACUUCCUGGCCUGUUCUUGACGCUGAGGCGCGAAAGCUAGGGUAGCAAACGGG
This 253-nucleotide ribosomal RNA is filed under the name uncultured bacterium. RNAcentral describes it as "partial 16S ribosomal RNA". It matches the Rfam family "Bacterial small subunit ribosomal RNA", at positions 524 to 776 of the family's 1533-position model. The record is from RNAcentral.